GCUGGAGUGGUGGAAUUGGUAGACUCGCUAGGUUCAGGACCUAGUGUCCUUCGGGACGUGCGGGUUCGAGUCCCGCCUCCAGCA
RNAcentral lists this transfer RNA (84 nucleotides) under bacterium. RNAcentral describes it as "tRNA-Leu". It matches the Rfam family "tRNA". Rfam says of the family: Transfer RNA (tRNA) molecules are approximately 80 nucleotides in length. Their secondary structure includes four short double-helical elements and three loops (D, anti-codon, and T loops). The record is from RNAcentral.